RNAcentral lists this ribosomal RNA (781 nucleotides) under uncultured archaeon. RNAcentral's name for it is "bacterial SSU rRNA". It matches the Rfam family "Archaeal small subunit ribosomal RNA", at positions 669 to 1449 of the family's 1478-position model. The record is from RNAcentral.
GAGGCGGUCUACCAGAACACGUCCGACGGUGAGGGAUGAAAGCUGGGGGAGCAAACCGGAUUAGAUACCCGGGUAGUCCCAGCUGUAAACUAUGCAAACUCAGUGAUGCAUUGGCUUGUGGCCAAUGCAGUGCUGCAGGGAAGCCGUUAAGUUUGCCGCCUGGGAAGUACGUACGCAAGUAUGAAACUUAAAGGAAUUGGCGGGGGAGCACCACAAGGGGAGAAGCCUGCGGUUCAAUUGGAGUCAACGCCAGAAAUCUUACCCGGAGAGACAGCAGAAUGAAGGUCAAGCUGAAGACUUUACCAGACAAGCUGAGAGGCGGUGCAUGGCCGUCGCCAGCUCGUGCCGUGAGAUGUCCUGUUAAGUCAGGUAACGAGCGAGAUCCCUGCCUCUAGUUGCCACCAUUACUCUCAGGAGUAGUGGGGCGAAUUAGCGGGACCGCCGCGGUUAAUGCGGAGGAAGGAAGGGGCCACGGCAGGUCAGUAUGCCCCGAAACUCUGGGGCCACACGCGGGCUGCAGUGGUAACGACAAUUGGUUUCGAAUCCGAAAGGAUGAGGUAAUCCUCAAACGUUACCACAGUUAUGACUGAGGGCUGCAACUCGCCCUCACGAAUAUGGAAUCCCUAGUAACUGCGUGUCAUUAUCGCGCGGUGAAUACGUCCCUGCUCCUUGCACACACCGCCCGUCGUUUCAUUGAAGUGAGCUUUUAGCGAGGUGACGUCUAAUUGGCGUUAUCGAACUUGAGGUUCGUGACAAGGGAAAAGUCGUAACAAGGUAGCCA